This 253-nucleotide ribosomal RNA is filed under the name uncultured bacterium. Its description in RNAcentral is "partial 16S ribosomal RNA". It matches the Rfam family "Bacterial small subunit ribosomal RNA", at positions 524 to 776 of the family's 1533-position model. The record is from RNAcentral.
UACGUAGGGGGCAAGCGUUGUCCGGAUUUAUUGGGUUUAAAGGGUGCGUAGGCGGUUUAUUAAGUCAGUGGUGAAAUACUCUAGCUCAACUAGAGGGGUGCCAUUGAUACUGAUGAGCUUGAGUACAGAUGAGGUAGGCGGAAUUGACGGUGUAGCGGUGAAAUGCUUAGAUAUCGUCAAGAACACCUAUAGCGAAGGCAGCUUACUAGGCUGUAACUGACGCUGAGGCACGAAAGUGUGGGGAUCAAACAGG